Molecule: ribosomal RNA, 2902 nt
Filed under: Escherichia coli
Lineage: Bacteria; Pseudomonadati; Pseudomonadota; Gammaproteobacteria; Enterobacterales; Enterobacteriaceae
Description: bacterial LSU rRNA
Rfam family: Bacterial large subunit ribosomal RNA
Source: RNAcentral
UUAAGCGACUAAGCGUACACGGUGGAUGCCCUGGCAGUCAGAGGCGAUGAAGGACGUGCUAAUCUGCGAUAAGCGUCGGUAAGGUGAUAUGAACCGUUAUAACCGGCGAUUUCCGAAUGGGGAAACCCAGUGUGAUUCGUCACACUAUCAUUAACUGAAUCCAUAGGUUAAUGAGGCGAACCGGGGGAACUGAAACAUCUAAGUACCCCGAGGAAAAGAAAUCAACCGAGAUUCCCCCAGUAGCGGCGAGCGAACGGGGAGCAGCCCAGAGCCUGAAUCAGUAUGUGUGUUAGUGGAAGCGUCUGGAAAGGCGCGCGAUACAGGGUGACAGCCCCGUACACAAAAAUGCACAUGCUGUGAGCUCGAUGAGUAGGGCGGGACACGUGGUAUCCUGUCUGAAUAUGGGGGGACCAUCCUCCAAGGCUAAAUACUCCUGACUGACCGAUAGUGAACCAGUACCGUGAGGGAAAGGCGAAAAGAACCCCGGCGAGGGGAGUGAAAAAGAACCUGAAACCGUGUACGUACAAGCAGUGGGAGCACGCUUAGGCGUGUGACUGCGUACCUUUUGUAUAAUGGGUCAGCGACUUAUAUUCUGUAGCAAGGUUAACCGAAUAGGGGAGCCGAAGGGAAACCGAGUCUUAACUGGGCGUUAAGUUGCAGGGUAUAGACCCGAAACCCGGUGAUCUAGCCAUGGGCAGGUUGAAGGUUGGGUAACACUAACUGGAGGACCGAACCGACUAAUGUUGAAAAAUUAGCGGAUGACUUGUGGCUGGGGGUGAAAGGCCAAUCAAACCGGGAGAUAGCUGGUUCUCCCCGAAAGCUAUUUAGGUAGCGCCUCGUGAAUUCAUCUCCGGGGGUAGAGCACUGUUUCGGCAAGGGGGUCAUCCCGACUUACCAACCCGAUGCAAACUGCGAAUACCGGAGAAUGUUAUCACGGGAGACACACGGCGGGUGCUAACGUCCGUCGUGAAGAGGGAAACAACCCAGACCGCCAGCUAAGGUCCCAAAGUCAUGGUUAAGUGGGAAACGAUGUGGGAAGGCCCAGACAGCCAGGAUGUUGGCUUAGAAGCAGCCAUCAUUUAAAGAAAGCGUAAUAGCUCACUGGUCGAGUCGGCCUGCGCGGAAGAUGUAACGGGGCUAAACCAUGCACCGAAGCUGCGGCAGCGACGCUUAUGCGUUGUUGGGUAGGGGAGCGUUCUGUAAGCCUGUGAAGGUGUGCUGUGAGGCAUGCUGGAGGUAUCAGAAGUGCGAAUGCUGACAUAAGUAACGAUAAAGCGGGUGAAAAGCCCGCUCGCCGGAAGACCAAGGGUUCCUGUCCAACGUUAAUCGGGGCAGGGUGAGUCGACCCCUAAGGCGAGGCCGAAAGGCGUAGUCGAUGGGAAACAGGUUAAUAUUCCUGUACUUGGUGUUACUGCGAAGGGGGGACGGAGAAGGCUAUGUUGGCCGGGCGACGGUUGUCCCGGUUUAAGCGUGUAGGCUGGUUUUCCAGGCAAAUCCGGAAAAUCAAGGCUGAGGCGUGAUGACGAGGCACUACGGUGCUGAAGCAACAAAUGCCCUGCUUCCAGGAAAAGCCUCUAAGCAUCAGGUAACAUCAAAUCGUACCCCAAACCGACACAGGUGGUCAGGUAGAGAAUACCAAGGCGCUUGAGAGAACUCGGGUGAAGGAACUAGGCAAAAUGGUGCCGUAACUUCGGGAGAAGGCACGCUGAUAUGUAGGUGAAGUCCCUCGCGGAUGGAGCUGAAAUCAGUCGAAGAUACCAGCUGGCUGCAACUGUUUAUUAAAAACACAGCACUGUGCAAACACGAAAGUGGACGUAUACGGUGUGACGCCUGCCCGGUGCCGGAAGGUUAAUUGAUGGGGUUAGCGCAAGCGAAGCUCUUGAUCGAAGCCCCGGUAAACGGCGGCCGUAACUAUAACGGUCCUAAGGUAGCGAAAUUCCUUGUCGGGUAAGUUCCGACCUGCACGAAUGGCGUAAUGAUGGCCAGGCUGUCUCCACCCGAGACUCAGUGAAAUUGAACUCGCUGUGAAGAUGCAGUGUACCCGCGGCAAGACGGAAAGACCCCGUGAACCUUUACUAUAGCUUGACACUGAACAUUGAGCCUUGAUGUGUAGGAUAGGUGGGAGGCUUAGAAGUGUGGACGCCAGUCUGCAUGGAGCCGACCUUGAAAUACCACCCUUUAAUGUUUGAUGUUCUAACGUUGACCCGUAAUCCGGGUUGCGGACAGUGUCUGGUGGGUAGUUUGACUGGGGCGGUCUCCUCCUAAAGAGUAACGGAGGAGCACGAAGGUUGGCUAAUCCUGGUCGGACAUCAGGAGGUUAGUGCAAUGGCAUAAGCCAGCUUGACUGCGAGCGUGACGGCGCGAGCAGGUGCGAAAGCAGGUCAUAGUGAUCCGGUGGUUCUGAAUGGAAGGGCCAUCGCUCAACGGAUAAAAGGUACUCCGGGGAUAACAGGCUGAUACCGCCCAAGAGUUCAUAUCGACGGCGGUGUUUGGCACCUCGAUGUCGGCUCAUCACAUCCUGGGGCUGAAGUAGGUCCCAAGGGUAUGGCUGUUCGCCAUUUAAAGUGGUACGCGAGCUGGGUUUAGAACGUCGUGAGACAGUUCGGUCCCUAUCUGCCGUGGGCGCUGGAGAACUGAGGGGGGCUGCUCCUAGUACGAGAGGACCGGAGUGGACGCAUCACUGGUGUUCGGGUUGUCAUGCCAAUGGCACUGCCCGGUAGCUAAAUGCGGAAGAGAUAAGUGCUGAAAGCAUCUAAGCACGAAACUUGCCCCGAGAUGAGUUCUCCCUGACUCCUUGAGAGUCCUGAAGGAACGUUGAAGACGACGACGUUGAUAGGCCGGGUGUGUAAGCGCAGCGAUGCGUUGAGCUAACCGGUACUAAUGAACCGUGAGGCUUAACCUU